RNAcentral lists this unclassified non-coding RNA (238 nucleotides) under uncultured Volvopluteus. RNAcentral describes it as "sequence contains ITS1". The record is from RNAcentral. Lineage: Eukaryota; Fungi; Basidiomycota; Agaricomycetes; Agaricales; Pluteaceae.
UUGGAUAAACCAAGGCGAGCUGUCUUGCUGGCCUCCCCUCCAGGAGGCAUGUGCACGCUCGUCAAACGUUUCAUUCAUCCCUUUCCACCUGUGCACACACUGUAGGUCGGAAAUCCCCCUACCUCGACGAACAGAGGUUUUUGGGGGCCUCCUUCCGGUCCUACGUCCUCACAUCCUACCCUACUACGUAUGUGAUACGAAUGUAACGAUCUAGGCCUCGCGCCUAAUAAACACAAUA